GAAUGCUUGGGAAUUAAUGAAAGAGUACAGACUGGCCUCGGGCAUCAACACCUCAACGACGUCACAGCGCUUAAAGUUAGAAACCAAGUCUACGCGCGCAACUCAGCACAAAUAAGCUCAUCCAUAACAGAACAUACUCCACGUGUGCUCUACCAAGGAAGACAUAGCUUAGUGUCCAAUUUCUUCGUAACUCCCGGAUCAUCUCGGUGACCCCAAACAGUUGGAGCGUUGUGUGGAUCUUCAGGUUUGGACGUCGCACCACCAUGGUUCUUCAUGAUGACAGCCCACCCCAAACAGUUGGAGCGUUGUGUGGAUCUUCAGGUUUGGACGUCGCACCACCAUGGUUCUUCAUGAUGACAGCCCACCCCAAACAGUUGGAGCGUUGUGUGGAUCUUCAGGUUUGGACGUCGCACCACCAUGGUUCUUCAUGAUGACAGCCCACCCCAAACAGUUGGAGCAUUGUGUGGAUCUUCAGGUUUGGACGUCGCACCACCAUGGUUCUUCAUGAUGACAGCCCACCCCAAACAGUUGGAGCGUUGUGUGGAUCUUAAGGUUUGGACGUCGCACCACCAUGGUUCUUCAUGAAGACAGGGUGCUUUCCGGGUGUAUUCAUUGUCCCCAGAAUUGCCUCUACUGGUCACUACAGACCACUGAGCAGGUCCAGAUCUUUGCACAAGUGAAAAGGAUAUUAAACUAUACAAGAGAACAUCACAUUAAUGAGAACCAUAUGUACAUUGUGUACAGGCAGUUUAGAAAAAUGUGCAGCACUCACUAUAUAUGCUCAUCUACAUAUGAGCCUCUUUGCAACCUUGCCUACAUCUGGAAGAGACCAGAGACCCUUGAUUAUCUCAAGGAGCUAUCCACCAACCCCAUCAGUCCAAUGUAUUCCUGGAAAUUGUGUGCGUUCGUGCACGUGUGUGUGUGUGUGUGUGUGUGUGUGUGUGUGUGUGUGUGUGUGUGUGUGAGAAGUUGGGGGUGUUUUUUUGUCUGUAAUGGGGCCAAGGUACUCUAGUGUGGAGAAGGGAAAGUGUGUUUUGUUGGAUUUUUUGUUUGCUUAUGCUAAACUGUCAGUUUGGGUAGGAGAAACUGGAUCAGAGGGUCGUGGGCAAUAAGACCCUGGGGUUUAGGGGAAUGGUUUCUACGUGCCUUCAUUUAUGUUUCACUACAUGAUUAAAAGUAUGUAAUUGUUUGGGGACGGGGGGUGUCAGGGGUUGUCUGUGUGAUUGUUCAGUAAUGCGGGAGACUCGCUCUCCUCGCUUCCAUUACCCCCCCUUGUGCUCCCUCUCCCUUCUCAAGGGGGGCUGGCAGGGAGCAAAGGGGGGGCAAGGCAAGUUGGCAGGUUGGCAAGGCGGUCAGCAAGAGAGUGGGUAUGACAGUCAGAGGGGUUAGACGAGUCAUUUUCAACUCACUUUAAAACAUGUUUUGAUUGACCUGGAAACGACAGGUCUCACGACCUUGACUGUCCCACCUACUAUCUGGACUCUUACGGAAGAGACUGCCACGGUCUUGAUAGAGCAUCCAAAGUGGUCUCACAGGUUAAGCUGCAGACUUGACCUGUGCUGAUGACUGCAAGUCAUAGAAAAUGAUUUGUCCUUCCUCUUGACUCACCAUGGAUUUGAACUUACGCUCAUUGGAGUCAAAGUCAGCAG
This is a long non-coding RNA of Esox lucius (northern pike), 1649 nucleotides long. The record is from Ensembl. NCBI's taxonomy places the organism in Eukaryota, Metazoa, Chordata, Actinopteri, Esociformes, Esocidae.